Molecule: ribosomal RNA, 24 nt
Filed under: Eunicella cavolini
Lineage: Eukaryota; Metazoa; Cnidaria; Anthozoa; Malacalcyonacea; Eunicellidae
Description: Eunicella cavolinii partial 5.8S ribosomal RNA
Source: RNAcentral
AGCAUGUCCGUCUGAGUGUUGGUU